Molecule: ribosomal RNA, 253 nt
Filed under: uncultured bacterium
Lineage: Bacteria
Description: partial 16S ribosomal RNA
Rfam family: Bacterial small subunit ribosomal RNA
Source: RNAcentral
UACGUAGGGGGCUAGCGUUGUCCGGAAUCAUUGGGCGUAAAGAGCGUGUAGGCGGUCCGGUAAGUCCGCUGUGAAAGUCGGGGGCUCAACCCUCGAAUGCCGGUGGAUACUGUCGGGCUAGAGUGCGGAAGAGGCGAGUGGAAUUCCUGGUGUAGCGGUGAAAUGCGCAGAUAUCGGGAGGAACACCAGCGGCGAAGGCGGCUCUCUGGGCUGGUACUGACGCUGAGGAGCGAAAGCGUGGGGAGCAAACAGG